UACAGAGGUCCCAAGCGUUGUUCGGAUUCACUGGGCGUAAAGGGUGCGUAGGUGGCUAGGUAAGUUCGAUGUGAAAUCUCCGAGCUUAACUCGGAAAGUGCAUUGAAUACUAUCUAGCUUGAGGGUUGGAGGGGGGACUGGAAUUCUCGGUGUAGCAGUGAAAUGCGUAGAUAUCGAGAGGAACACCAGUGGCGAAGGCGAGUCCCUGGACAACUCCUGACACUGAGGCACGAAAGCUAGGGGAGCAAACAGG
This 253-nucleotide ribosomal RNA is filed under the name uncultured bacterium. RNAcentral describes it as "partial 16S ribosomal RNA". It matches the Rfam family "Bacterial small subunit ribosomal RNA", at positions 524 to 776 of the family's 1533-position model. The record is from RNAcentral.